GCAGGGGGAAUUGUUGCAGAGAUUUUGUGAGAGGAUAUCUCAGUCACCGAGUAUACCAGAGCAGACUGUUCUACCACCGACUACUCCAGUGACCAUACCAGCUGCAGCAGUUCCUCCGUCGGCAGCAGUUCCAGUAGCGCCAGUUGCGCCGGCUAGGGGGCCAGUACCGUUGACUGAGGCCGAGUAGGAGCGGUGGACGGAGAGAUUAGCUCGUUUUCGUCGAUUUGACCCACCGAUCUUCGAUGGCAGAGGCACUGAGGCCUGGAUUGUUGAGGGAUGGGUCAGUGCGAUGGAGAAGUUAUUCGAGGAUCUGUUCGUUCCAGAGUGGGAGCAGGUACCUUUGGGAGUACACUGUCUGUCGGGUGAUGCACAUGAUUGGUGGCGGAGAGCGAGGCGAGACCAGGGACUGGUGGCGACGCAGCUGAGUUGGGAUGAGUUCUGUGGAAUGCUGUAUGGGAUGUAUUU
This 465-nucleotide long non-coding RNA is filed under the name Ananas comosus (pineapple). RNAcentral's name for it is "long non-coding RNA (ACOM_LNC001869)". The record is from RNAcentral. Lineage: Eukaryota; Viridiplantae; Streptophyta; Magnoliopsida; Poales; Bromeliaceae.